AUUGAACGCUGGCGGCAGGCCUAACACAUGCAAGUCGAGCGAGCGGCGGACAGGGGAGUAAUGUCUGGGAAACUGCCUGAUGGAGGGGGAUAACUACUGGAAACGAUAGCUAAUACCGCAUACCAUCAGAUGUGCGCAGAUGGGUGUAGCUGGUAGGUGGGGUAAAGGCCCACCUCGGCGAGGAUCCCUAGCUGGUCUGAGAGGAUGACCAGCCACACUGGAACUGAGACACGGUCCAGACUCCUACGGGAGGCAGCAGUGGGGAAUAUUGCACAAUGGGCGAAAGCCUGAUGCAGCCAUGCCGCGUGUGUGAAGAAGGCCUUCGGGUUGUAAAGCACUUUCAGCGGGGAGGCGUUACCCGCAGAAGAAGCACCGGCUAACUCCGUGCCAGCAGCCGCGGUAAUAC
This 406-nucleotide ribosomal RNA is filed under the name uncultured bacterium. RNAcentral's name for it is "partial 16S ribosomal RNA". It matches the Rfam family "Bacterial small subunit ribosomal RNA", at positions 29 to 526 of the family's 1533-position model. The record is from RNAcentral.